Molecule: small RNA, 366 nt
Filed under: Pan troglodytes (chimpanzee)
Lineage: Eukaryota; Metazoa; Chordata; Mammalia; Primates; Hominidae
Description: retained intron
Source: RNAcentral
UUUCUUCCAUUCCAGAAAGGGAUAAACAGCACUUCCAGGGGGAGAAAAAAAAUCAUGUUAUCAGAAAGCAAAGAAGGUGAGGAGAAGGAGGAAGUGACCAUGGACACAAGUGAAAACAGACCUGAAAAUGAUGUUCCAGAACCUCCCAUGCCUAUUGCAGACCAAGUCAGCAAUGAUGACCGCCCGGAGGGCAGUGUUGAAGAUGAGGAGAAGAAAGAGGUAAACAUCCAAGCCACCUAUUGGGGCGGGUGGGCAGGAAUGGACCUAGGGGAAAGAGUAGAGCACUCUAGUGAUCCCUCUUACAUGGUGGGUUAACUUAAAGGAGGGAUGAGGCAGGGACUUGGAUCAGAAUAGGGCCAAGGGAGA